RNAcentral lists this ribosomal RNA (428 nucleotides) under uncultured bacterium. RNAcentral's name for it is "bacterial SSU rRNA". It matches the Rfam family "Bacterial small subunit ribosomal RNA", at positions 355 to 775 of the family's 1533-position model. The record is from RNAcentral.
UGGGGAAUAUUCCGCAAUGGACGAAAGUCUGACGGAGCAACGCCGCGUGAGUGAUGAAGGUUUUCGGACUGUAAAGCUCUGUUGUUUAGGACGAAAGUGCCUGUUGCGAAUAGUUACAGGUAUUGACGGUACUGAACGAGGAAGCCACGGCUAACUACGUGCCAGCAGCCGCGGUAGUACGUAGGUGGCAAGCGUUGUCCGGAAUUAUUGGGCGUAAAGAGCAUGUAGGCGGGAAUCUAAGUCUGUUGUGAAAAUGCGGGGCCCAACCCCGUAUUGCGAUGGAAACUGGGUUUCUUGAGUGCAGGAGAGGAAAGGGGAAUUCCCAGUGUAGCGGUGAAAUGCGUAGAUAUUGGGAGGAACACCAGUGGCGAAGGCGCCUUUCUGGACUGUGUCUGACGCUGAGAUGCGAAAGCCAGGGUAGCGAACGG